Molecule: ribosomal RNA, 479 nt
Filed under: uncultured bacterium
Lineage: Bacteria
Description: bacterial SSU rRNA
Rfam family: Bacterial small subunit ribosomal RNA
Source: RNAcentral
CUACGUGCCASCAGCCGCGGUAAUACGGAGGGUGCGAGCGUUAAUCGGAAUAACUGGGCGUAAAGGGCACGCAGGCGGUGACUUAAGUGAGGUGUGAAAGCCCCGGGCUUAACCUGGGAAUUGCAUUUCAUACUGGGUCGCUAGAGUACUUUAGGGAGGGGUAGAAUUCCACGUGUAGCGGUGAAAUGCGUAGAGAUGUGGAGGAAUACCGAAGGCGAAGGCAGCCCCUUGGGAAUGUACUGACGCUCAUGUGCGAAAGCGUGGGGAGCAAACAGGAUUAGAUACCCUGGUAGUCCACGCUGUAAACGAUGUCGAUUUGGGGGUUGAGCUUUAAGUUUGGCGCCCGUAGCUAACGUGAUAAAUCGACCGCCUGGGGAGUACGGCCGCAAGGUUAAAACUCAAAUGAAUUGACGGGGGCCCGCACAAGCGGUGGAGCAUGUGGUUUAAUUCGAUGCAACGCGAAGAACCUUACCUACUCU